AGAAUGACGUGACUACAGUCGACGACUCACUCUUCGAUGAGAGACUACCAUCACAAUAUACCACCAGAUCGCCAAUGUUCAGCACGAACGUGAAGUGGCUCAUCGCUGUUUUAGACUGCGUGAUGCUCAAGCUUCGGUCCGAGGUGCCUGAAACUAGAGCCUCUGCCGAAAAGGCCGUAUUCGACGAGCUACAGUCCUGGCAGAACCAGCUUCAGCGGUGCAGCUCCGUUGACGAGUUCAUCAUCAUAUCACGACUGAUGUGAAUAGGCGAUGCUUUCAUAUAUUCUAUUCUACAGAGUAAAUAAACAAUUUCGUUGCUA
Ixodes scapularis (black-legged tick) is the source of this 320-nucleotide long non-coding RNA. RefSeq lists it as uncharacterized. The transcript is spliced from 2 exons. The record is from RefSeq and is a predicted model, not a curated record. Lineage: Eukaryota; Metazoa; Arthropoda; Arachnida; Ixodida; Ixodidae.